Long non-coding RNA from Musca domestica (house fly), 740 nucleotides. RefSeq lists it as uncharacterized. The record is from RefSeq and is a predicted model, not a curated record. Lineage: Eukaryota; Metazoa; Arthropoda; Insecta; Diptera; Muscidae. The transcript is spliced from 3 exons.
UAUUGGUUACUUGAAAAGUAUCAGUACUCUUUUAUUUUCGUUUUCUUUUUGUUUACAGUAUAUGUGUGUUUACAGAAUGUAGUGAUAUGAAUGGAAUAUAUAAGAAAUCAAAACAAGAAAAAAAAAAUCAAAAUUAAAGGAAAAAAUAAAGAACUGUAAGCAAAUAUGAUGAUUAUUUACAAAUAAAAGUCAAACUUCAAUUUUGCAAAGUGCAAUAAAGUUGAUUAAUUCAUCUAUAUUUUGUUGGUUUUUGGACAUCAGGAUUUCCGGUUUCACAAAGAUUUGAGUCAGCAAUUCCAAUCCUGUGGAAAUAUUUUUUGGUGUAAGUAUGACCAGUGAGCAAUCGAUUAACAAUCUUUAUGUUUUCAGGUUUCAUGUUUGAUGAAAAGAACCAGGGCUGUUUAGCAGGCGCCGGGAAGAAUUGGUAGAAGAGUGGCUCAAUGCGUUUCGACGCAUCUGUGACCGACAGACAGAAGUUGAUUGGUGAACCAACAUUUGCUGCAUGCUUCGCAAAAUAAUCGGCUGUUUCAUUGAUUGGUAUACCGACUAGCCUUAGGUGUGUCUGGUUACUUUUCCUGCAACAAUUGUCCAGCAACAUCUUUCUGAGAGAGUAAGGUACUUUUAUUCUCUUUUGCAUGGAAGAUGCGAAAAGUAAACAGACGGUAUUCCUGCAGAAACUUGCAACUAAUCAGCUGUUUUGUCAAAACAAAACAAUUUGUCCCCCAUUCAAAAAAAAAAUA